Molecule: ribosomal RNA, 151 nt
Filed under: Tricholoma portentosum
Lineage: Eukaryota; Fungi; Basidiomycota; Agaricomycetes; Agaricales; Tricholomataceae
Description: 5.8S rRNA
Rfam family: 5.8S ribosomal RNA
About the family: 5.8S ribosomal RNA (5.8S rRNA) is a component of the large subunit of the eukaryotic ribosome.
Source: RNAcentral
UAUACAACUUUCAACAACGGAUCUCUUGGCUCUCGCAUCGAUGAAGAACGCAGCGAAAUGCGAUAAGUAAUGUGAAUUGCAGAAUUCAGUGAAUCAUCGAAUCUUUGAACGCACCUUGCGCUCCUUGGUAUUCCGAGGAGCAUGCCUGUUU